This 8890-nucleotide long non-coding RNA is filed under the name Zea mays. RNAcentral's name for it is "long non-coding RNA (ZMAY_LNC001779)". Lineage: Eukaryota; Viridiplantae; Streptophyta; Magnoliopsida; Poales; Poaceae. The record is from RNAcentral.
CCUCUCUCAUCUCCUCCUCCCUCAAACUCUUGCAGCCACCAUCCCACAAACCCUAGCCCCACCCCCCCCCAUCUUCUCCUCUCCUAGGUGCAGCCCUCCCGCUUGAUCUACAUCGCAUGGGUGCAAAUCUCCAAUUGGAAUUUGGUGGAAGGAAGAAGGAGGGAGGAAAGGGGGAGAAGUCAAGGUGAUUUUGUGAUUAACUCUUGUUUAUUUGUGCAGCAAUUCAAUCGAUUAGAUGUUUAUGUAUGCGAAUUGGUAGAGGUGCUGUCCAGAAAUUUUGUGGGUGGGCGAACAGCAGUAGUUCUAGCAGUUUCUGGGAAUUUUUCGUGGGUAAUUAGUGGGAAUCAGAGGGAGAAUCAUGUAGAGCUUUGUAAUACCUUUCCAACGAGUACUUGUGCGUUCGAUUUGGAGUUAUAUUUAAGGAGAUAUCGCUGUUUGAAUCCGGGUAUGUUGCUGUCCAAAAAAACAGAUUUUGCAGGUGGGCGAACAGCAGUAGUAUUAGCAGUUUCUGGGGAUUUUUCGUGGGUAAUUAGUGAUAAUAAGUAUGAUAAUAAUGUAGAUCUUUGUCAUACCUUUCCAACGAGUACUUAUGCGCUCGAUUCGGAGUUAUAUUUUAGGAGAUAUCGCUGUUUGAAAUCCGGGAAUGCUGCUGUCCAAAAACAGAUUGCAGGGUUUAUCUUGUGGACUGUUUUGGGCUAAUUAGGGGUUAGAAUUUAAUUAUCAUUUGAAUAUAAAACUUGUGGGAAAUUUUAUGUAAAUGCUUCCGGAGUUUUUGAUUGAUAUCACUGCUGUUAUAAUUUUAAAGUUAUGAAAUUAUCAAGCAGCGCCGCUGCAGUUUGGGUGGUGAUGGGGAGAGUUGUCGCUUGCGACGGGUUAGAAUUGUGCGUAGGUGCGGCGUUGUUUAUUAGAGUUUGUUAUAUUAAUUUGUGCACUAAGGUGUGUGUCAAAAUCAGGUGGUGGACUUCCGGAUUGUACUUAGUACCAUUCCAAAUUCCCGGUGUAGGCAAGUAAAUACAGUGGUGGUUGCUACCGUUUGGUUUGCAGCCUAUGCCUUGUCAUUGAGUAUGCAUAAGUAUUAAAUGUGUUAAUCAUUGAAUUCUAUGAUGAAGUUUAUUUGUUCGAAAGUAUUAAUUCUCAAUUGUCUAAUAUUGCAGAUGAUCAUGAUUUGGGAAUGUUAUAUGUGGUUGAUUCCCAUCUUGGAUGAAGUUGAAGUAUCUUUUUGAAUCAUGUUAUAUGAAUUGCUGUAGGCAUGUCAUGCACAUCGCAUCAUCCAUCUUGCAUUUUGAAGUUAUGUCGUGAUCUUAUGGUCCGACCGUACCGGUACACUUUUAGCAUCGUACGUUGCCCGAGGAGGGGUACGAUGCGGCUUCAUAUCCUUAGAGGUAUAAAGGCAGAAGUCAUCCUUGCAUUUUCAGACAUUUGCACUCAUGAGGUAUAUAUGAAGUGUGACAUUACUAUGUUACUAUUGUGGUUUCUACCUGCGAGGUGUGGUAACUAGGUGUGUUGUACGUUGUAUUCGUGUUGCACCUUCGUAACAAGAAGGUUGUGAAAUUAAGUGGUGGUAAAACAAUGUUCUUAUGUGGUUGAAUAGUUUGUUAUUAUUUUACUUGCUGAGAUGUGUCAUCUCACUCUUGCAUUACUCAAUGCAGGUACUUGAUACAUGUUGGGAAUGAGGGGAGUAGCAGCACGUUCACUUUCACACUCAUAAUAACGCUGCCCAGGCGCAGCCAUGAUUUAAUUAGAAACUUGUUGUCAAAGGAUGUUUGUUUUUUAACUAGUCGUGUGCACUGGUUAAUUCAGUUCAUGUCGUAUGUUUAACUUCCCUUUGCUAGCCGAUUAAUAAUACUUAGUAUAUUUUUGUCAUAAUAUAUGUUUAUACACUGUUGCCCCCUCAUUUAUGCAAUUUAGCAAAGGAGAUGUUGCCGAAAUUUUAUAUACAGAUGUCAGAAGUGUAGUUCAGUAGCAUUCCGGGGUGUUUGUGGAUCCCGGGGUGUUAUAGUUGGUAUCAGAGCAUAGGCUUUAGAUUCUACGCAAUUUCAAGAUAAAUUUGACACACUUGCACAUAUAGGAAGGGUAUGGGUUCGUAUAUCUUUCAUAUUAGUAUUUUAUUGUAUAGAUGACUAGAAUUCCCUUACUCCAAAUCCCUUUAUGGAUUGAUGGGAUAUGUCAUUAACGACUUAAUGCUUGAUAUUGUAUGUUACUUCUAUUUAAUAUGGGUUUCUUGAUGUGGUUGUUAUUGAAGUUAUUAUGCAAGUGAAGCGACUAAUGUACUUGUUUUGUAUACAUAUCGUCAUGAUGUUUUUUUUGAUGCGAUGUUUUUCAAAUCUCUGAGCUAUUACUAUCAUAUAUUUCUAUAUGCGUGACUAUGGACGAUUUUUAAAUGGAUUUUUUUUGGGUUCUAGUACUUGUAGGACCGAUUGUUUAUUGAGUUUGUGUAUAGUGGGUCUAAUCCGGCUUGGUGUGGUGUGAAAACACUAUAUAAUGUAGUUUUAUCAUGUUGUUGAGUCUGAUUGAAUGUUGGGUUACAACCCAACUUAUCAAUGUAAUAUUUCCAUGGAUGCAAUGCUUUGUGCCUCACCGUUUUGGGCUAAUAUGGCUACUUGCCAACUUGAUCUUAGAGUACGAUAGGUUUGUCUCCAUAGAGCAAAGGCAAUGUUGUACUGUCUAUGAAAUCUUGAGACUGGUAGAACUCAAGUGAAUUUGUAAGAUGACGUGGGUAGAUAAGUUCAACCAUGUUUACAUGAUAGGUUUUCUUAUUGUGUGCAACCUUAUAUUUAGAAAUAAAUAGGGUGAUUUCAAGUGGAUUUUAUGUCUAUAUUAUAAUUGAAGAGGCAUGCAUGUUUUCCAUCUAUGGUUUGUUUCUAUAGCCAAAAGGGUUAUGCAUAAUUUUUAUUUGUUGGAGGCUACUCAUGUGGACGAUAUGGACAACCCGUUUUAUAUUUUUUUAAUCGCCAAAGAUAUAUGGUAGUUUUAUUUUUUUAUGAUUAGUUCUCUAUGCAUGCUUGUUGAAUUAUUAUUUGGACCGCUUUGUCUUAAACAAAGUCAAUGCUUAACUGGAAGUUGCUUAUGUUUGUUAGUCAUCUAUCUCUAUAAUGAUGUGGUUGUUGCAUCAGAUGAUGAUUUUUUUUCAUAUGAAUGAUGGUUUGAUAGAUCAUGUAUGUCUACUACUUUGAAUUCAUCCUAUGACAUCACGAGGUACAAAUUGGUCAAGUGCAAUAAUAGGAGGUAUUGUUGUAUGUGAGGUUAAUCAAGGUAGUUUAGUUAGAUGGAUUGUCUUAUUGAAGUCCAAUUACUCCUGUUGAGCAUAGUAUCGUGUUAUUAUUUUAGUGUUGAAAGUAAUAUUUAUGAAGCUUUUGCAUGAGUCUGUAUCAAGAAGAACAUUAGUUUUUCUUGUUGUUAUCCCUCCAUUGCUUUAUAAGUGUUGCACAUUUUAUCUCUUUUGAGAGGAAAAAAAGACGUUAUAUGGCAUGAGCACCAUUUGCUUCACGUCAACAGAAUAGUUUUGGAGAUUUCUAGUAGUUGGAUACUAGUAUAAUAACAACCAUGUUUUAUAGUGCUUGAGACGGGUAUGUCAGGUGUUUCAUACAUUGUCGAUACAUGGAUGUUUGACCUUAGUGGUAUUAGCAAACGAGGUUGUUGAAUUCGUUGAUUGUGGUGCUUAGUGUUCUAACCUAUUUUGGUAGAGUUUUAUUUAAAGACUUUGUGGAGUUGCAUCCCAGGUUGGUAAUGGAAAAUCCUAGUGUUGAUUGCACCUGCCAAUGCCUUAGGUUUCAUUUUAUAUUGUUCUUUUAUUGUUGUUAAUGUGUUAUUUGGUUUUGGGAGGCAUUUUAAAUUAGUUGGAGGUUGAAUCAGGCUUCACUUAUCUAGAAUGUUUUGUAGUAUGUUUCUUCAUCUUUCCAUAGGAUGCUUAAUCACCCGGUUUGGUCUAAACAUUUGAGAGUUAUGGGUUUCCUAAAACAUCCUUGUUGGUGUCUCUGGUAGAAUGAGUCUUUAAUUUUGUACGGAAGAGUAGACAUUGAAGACGGUAUAAUUUGGUCUUUGUUGGAUUAUGAAAGUUUUAGUAAUUUCAUGAUCUUUCCAAAGAGUAUUGGUUUGUAAUUUUCAUUGCAUAUAAUUGGAGUUAGGCUGCUCUGAAGUUGUCGCACCGUUGUGUCUGAACUUUAGGUGUCGUUAUAACCACCAAUAAAUCGACUACGUUUUGAUAGUUUCAGAGCCCAAAUUUGGGAAUUCUCUUUAAGCAAAACUGUUAGUUCUUCUCAGUACCUUUUAAAUGGGUAUUUACUUGUAAUUGUCGGUUAAAUAGAUUGGGAGAGGUGGUUGUCCGGAUAUAAGUCGAAUCUCUAAUGUGCAGUAUCUCAGGCUGAGUUUAGCUGUAGGUCAUGCAGAGUUGAGGGCUAUAAAGAUAAAUUUGGGUGCAACUUUAUUGCAAAAGUCGUGGACAAUUUUCAACUUUUCCAACGUGUGUUCGUUGUAGUUUUAAGUUGAGUAUAGCAGGAGUUAUAGGUUUUUGAAUUUUAGUUGUCCAUUGUUUCUAUCCUAUCAGUUUUGCAACAAAAGAGUUGCAUUGUUUUAUCGGGUUGGAAACCAAUUUCGAGACCCUCAUUAUAAUAAAGUUUUUGGGAAUGUUAUAAUCUUUUCAAUGAGUUUAUAUUUGCAAAAUUUUGUUAGCUGCAGGGAGUUAUGAUAUUUUGAAUUUAUGUGUCAUGUUUCGUCAGGUUCUGGUGGCAGAUCAUGUAUGUCGCUUUACAAGUCAAAUUAAAAAUGGUAGAUGAAAAAAAUUGUUUAUCCUUUGAAUACGAAAGUUGUAGAUCAUGAAGUUUAGAUGAUUUUACACUAUUUCAUUGUUAUCAUUGCUUUUAUAGUGAGAGGUGGAGACAAAAUGAACAUUUGCGCUAUUGAUUGUCAAUUUUCUAUUUAGGGAAUUUUUUUCAUGGGAAUUUGGUUUAGUUGUGGUGAGCUCUUUCGCAAUCCAUGUUAAUUAAGUUGUGUGGUGGGAGGGAAUAGACGUAGUGGUUGGGAUGGUUAUCUUGUUUAUGUAUAUGUGGAGCGUGGCUGAAACACAGAGAUAGCGAGGAACGUUUGAAUAAGCCAGUACAUAUUGUUGUGAAGCCACGUUUUCUAGUAUUGGCGUGAUUGCGUAAGUAUGAAAUAGUUACGUCAUGUGAAGUCUAGGUUGAGUUGCAAUUUGUCUGAGUUAUUGGAUAUAUAUAUAUAUAUAUAAUUAAAAAAAAGAGAGAGUUCUUCUAUGGGAUGAUAUAAUAUAUAGAAUGUGCUUGGAUGAAUAUGUAUGCAGGCAUAACAUGCUUAAAUUGAUUCUUAUUUGCAUGAUGUGAGAAUAGGCUUAAAAUGAUUUAAAAAGUUAUCAUAUUGCUUCUAUACUUAUAUUUGUUCUAAGUGUCUCGUAAUGAAGAACCUAAAGUUAUUAGUCUUUCGAUGAACGCUUAAUCUUAGAAGAGUAAUGAACCUGAAUAAAAUCUAUUGCUUGUUGUUAGGACUGCAUGACCAGUUUUAGUGAUGCAGCUAGUUCAAUGAAGUAAACCAUAUUUUCUGUAGAGAUGCUAUAUAUAAAAGUUGUAGCCAACUUCUUUAUCUUACUUGUGUAAAAAUUUCAUGACUAUAGGUCUAGUAGUUUGGGAGUUAUGAUUUUCUCAAGUCCAGUCUUGGAGUCUGUCUAGAUUCUGUACAGAUUUCGAAACUGACCAUGUUUGCCCAAUUUAAACUUUGAAUAAGUUCUUAUAAAUUAUAAAGAAGUUGUAGUACUUUUCUUAAUAUUUUCAACAAAUUUUGGAUCACCUUUUUUGGAGAUCUAUAAGUUAAGUUACAGCUGUUUUAAGUGUGAUCUCUGAAUCUGUCCAAAUUUGGACAGCAGAGCCUUUCUCAAGUCUUUUGACCUUGAUAUGCAUUGAAUUAACUUGAUAUGUUAUAAAUGAAUUAUAGACAAUUCUACUAGCUUUCUAAAAAGUGUAGGAGCACCUGAAUUGGAUGACUGAGACUCCAAUUAGGGAUUUUUUGAAUUGAGUAGUUGAAUUCUGUCCAAGUCUGGACAGAAUUUACGUUUAGCAUUGUUUGACCUUUCUAAGUGUCAAAUCUUGUUGUGAUGAUAAUACCAAGGGUAUAGUGGACUUUAUAAUAUUUCCAUAAAUUCCUAGUUUACUAUUUUUGGAUGCAUAUUUUGUGAGUUAUGAGCAAAGCAAUUAACCAUUGGGCUGCUGUCUAGAAAUAUGCAAGCGUUAAGUUGCUCUCUUGAAGUUGCUCUUGUUUGGCUAAGUUUGGUUUAGGCUACAGGGACAUUAUAUGCAUUGCAUUCAUAUAUACAUUCAUUGAAGUGCUUGCAUAUGUCAAUGUUGAUUUGGUGUCAGGAAGCUUUGUCCGAGGUAUAUAGGACCGUCUACUAUCUUAGCCGAGUUGGCAGCUGGGCUUAGCACAUGCAAUUGUCGGAAUCUAUGAUCAGAGUACACCAUGUAUUCCAUGUCUUUAUGUUGAGGAAGUAUUUGAGGAACCCAGACCAUCAAAUCGAGCUAGAGCCGAUUCCCGUGUAGCAAGACCAGACUCUAGAGUGUCGUCUCCUGCGUAUCUUAGAAUCCUAGGAGCUUGAGGAGUUGAUGCGGCAGAAGUACCUGAACUUUUCGUUACGUGUGAGUUUUGUUGAUUCAUUAAUCUUUCUUGUGUCGUUCCGAUAGAAGCAUCGGAAUUCAAGGUCGAAUUCUUUUUAGGGGGUAGAGUUUGAUAUCCAAUUUUCAAAAAAAGAAGAGAAAUUGAAGAUUAUUCUUUUUUUGUUUUCUCUUCCGGGUCCUGUGCUACAGGGGUUUGGAAUUUUGGGAAGCAUUCACCAGUAAAACAGUAUAAUUUUUUGUUAGACUCAUGCGCUGGGGUCGGGAGUUGUCGUGUGAGCGAGUUGGACCGUGAAACUCGAUCCGGCCCACUAGCCCCCUAACCCUAGCCGCCCUCCCCCUAAUCCCCUUCCCCCUUGUGUAGCCGCCCCCCUCUCUAGUCUUUGUGCAGCCGCCCCCCCUCUCUCAUAUCCUCCUCCCUCAAACUCUUGCAGCCACCAUCCCACAAACCCUAGCCGCCCCCCCCCCCAUCUUCUCCUCUCCUAGGUGCAGCCCUCCCGCUUGAUCUACGUCGCGUGGGUGCAAAUCUCCAAUUGGAAUUUGGUGGAAGGAAGGAGGGAGGAAAGGGGGAGAAGUCAAAGUGAUUUUGUGAUUAACUCUUGUUUAUUUGUGCUGCAAUUCAAUCGAUUAGAUGUUUACGUAUGCGAAUUGGUAGAGGUGCUGUCCAGAAAUUUUGUGGGUCGGCGAACAACAGUAGUUCUAGCAGUUUCUGAGCAUUUUUCGUGGGUAAUUAGUGGGAAUCAGUGGGAGAAUCAUGUAGAGCUUUGUAAUACCUUUCCAACGACUUAUGCACUCGAUUCGGAGUUAUAUUUUAGGAGAUAUCGCUGUUUGAAUCCGGGUAUGUUGUUGUCCAAAAAAACAGAUUUUGCAGGUGGGCGAACAGCAGUAGUAUUAGCAGUUUCUGGGGAUUUUUCGUGGGUAAUUAGUGAUAAUCAAUAUGAUAAUAAUGUAGAGCUUUGUCAUACCUUUCCAACGAGUACUUAUGCGCUCGAUUCGGAGUUAUAUUUUAGGAGAUAUCGCUGUUUGAAUCCGGGUAUGCUGCUGUCCAAAAAUAGAUUGUAGGGUUUAUCUUGUGGACUGUUUUGAGCUAAUUAGGGGUUGGAAUUUAAUUAUCAUUUGAAUAUAAAACUUGGGGGGAAUUUUAUGUAAAUGCUUUUGGAGUUUUUGAUUGAUAUCACUGCUGUUAUAAUUUUAAAGUUAUUAAAUUAUCAAGCAGCGCCGCUGCAGUUUGGGUGGUGAUGGGGAGAGUUGUCGCUCGCGACGGGUUGGAAUUGUGCGUAGGUGCGGCAUUGUUUAUUAGCGUUUGUUAUGUUGAUUUGUGCACUAAGGUGUGUCAAAAUCAGGUGGUGGACUUCCGGAUCGUACUUAGUACCAUUCCAAAUUCCCGGUGAAGGCAAGUAAAUACAGUGGUGGUUGAUACCGUUUGGUUUGCAUCCUAUGCCUUGUCAUUGAGUAUGCAUAAGUAUUAAAUGUGUUAAUCAUUGAAUUCUAUGAUGAAGUUUAUUUGAUCGAAAGUAUUAAUUCUCAAUUGUCUAAUAUUGCGUAUGAUCAUGAUUUGGGAAUGUUAUAUGUGGUUGAUUCCCAUCUUGGAUGAAGUUGAAGUAUCUUUUUGAAUCACGUUAUAUGAAGUGUUGUAGGUAUGUCAUGCACAUCGCAUCAUCCAUCUUGCAUUUUGAAGUUAUGUCGUGAUCUUAUGGUCUGACCGUACCGGUACACUUUUAGCAUCGUACGUUGCCCGAGGAGGGGUACGAUACGGCUUCAUAUCCUUAAGGUAUGAAGGUAGAAGUUAUCCUUGCAUUUGGAGACAUUUGCACACAUGAGGUAUAUAUGAAGUGUGACAUUACUAUGUUACUAUUGUGGUUUCUACCUGCGAGGUGUGGUAACUAGGUGUGUUGUACGUUGUAUUCGUGCUGCACCUUCGUAACAAGAAGGUUGUGAAAUUAAGUGGUGGUAAAACAAUGUUCUUAUGUGGUUAAACAGUUUGUUAUUAUUUUACUUGCUGAGAUAUGUCAUCUCACUCUUGCAUUACUCAAUGCAGGUACUUGAUACAUGUUGGGAAUGAGGGGAGUAGCAAUACGUCCACUUUCACUAUCAUAAUAACACUGCCCAGGUGCAACCAUGAUUUAAUUAGAAACUUGUUGUCAAAGGAUGUUUGUUUUUUUAACUAGUCGUGUGCACUGGUUAAUUCAGUUCAUGUUGUAUGUUUAACUUCCCUUUGCUAGUCGAUUAAUAAUACUUAGUAUGUUUUUUGUCAUGAUAUAUGUUGCAACAGAUUGAAC